GAAUCAUUAGAACGUCGGGCAAAAUGCUUAGCGGCAUUUCGUCCGUCUUUAUGUUCUGAUUUCAAAUUACGCCGAGGUUCACUUUGCCUUUCAUCCUUUCAGAGUCGACAAAAUAAGUUGAACGCUGGGGUUGAUGUAAUCGACCUAACCCUCCUCCAAACUUGCUGGCUUUGUGUCAAAAUUUGAAGCUGUUAUUAUUAUUAUUAUUAUUAUUAUAAUUAUUAUCAUUAUCAUCAUCAUCAUCAUCUUCAUCAUUAUUAUUACGAGCAUUUAACUCCAACUAUGAAACUGACUCCCCACCAAUAAAAACGACAACUAUGCAGUCAUCAACCAAUAAAACGAAAAGCAUUGACAACUCUACUACGAACACGGCCACCAACAACGCCAUCACCUCUACCACAAUUAAUACAAGAAAAAUAUGACAGAAGUGGUUGGGGAACAACCGCGACAACACAAAUGGUAACAACAAUAUCACGUGAAUAGCAACAACAGCAUCAACGGUAGCAGGUUUGCAGCAACAAACGAUAUGUCUGACCCAAGUGACCAAAUUGAUAGACUUGAAAAAUAAUGGCCCGACUCUGCGCAGCUGGCGCACACACACACACACACACACACACACACACACACACACACACACACACACACACACACACACACACACACACACACACACACACACACACACACACACAUACACACACACACACACACACAUGCACGCACAAAAUAUAUAAAUGUAUUUCCAUAAACACAAAACAACCGGAGACAGCGAAUCAAACUGUCGUAGAAUGAAAUGCCGCUGAAAGAAAUAAAGGCCGACAUAAAGUUAUCUCGAGGGCUAAGCAAUUUGCUGGCAUUUUAGUACUCUUCAAGAGUGAAGCUCUGUCCGUCUGAUACUCCGUGGUUCUUUGUCAGAGCGAUGAAUAUGUUCUCUGUUCAUCAAAUUUAGAAAGGAGGAUGGUAAGAAUGAAGAUCUCGGGAGUUAUAUAUGGUGAAUAUAUGGUGGAUCACUGCAUGCAUCGUCUUAGAAGGAAGUAACACCAGCUUCUUAAAGAUGAAGUGAUCCCGUCGUGAUAACUGGUCUAGGAUCAGUGUGGAGGUGCUACACCAAAUCAAACCAGACAUUAUCCACAUGAUCCCAAACCUUAUUCGCCUUCCAGGAUGGGAGGAGUUGCAUGUUCCGGUUCAGGGUAGAAGGCUUUUAAGCCACCUAUGUGGGGAGACUGGCCACUUGAAAGCUUUCUGCAGCGAACAACAACAAAAGCGGCACCAACCCCAGCAUAAAACGGUAGCAUGAAGAACAGGAAUAGUAAAAUUAGCAACUGCUGGAACAACACCAACAACAGUAGGAACAGCAAAACUAGCAGCAGAUGCACCACCACCACCACCACCACCUUCAACAGCCGAAAGAAAAACAACGGAUACAAAAACAUCCAAGGGCUCUGCCAACGAACUCUUCCUCUUUCUCUGUCUCGUAUAAACACAAACAUACACAUAGACUUUCACACAAAUACAAAUACACUCUCACCCAUAUCCGAAACUGUUUCCACAGAUACUGAAACCUCUGCAUUACGAAGUAAUAAUGAGGGGGAAGCUCCUCAUCAAAAAGAUAAAAGCCAAAAUAAAGCAAAAACUCACACCAACACACACUAAAAAAACAUAUAAAACACACCCAAAACAAUCACAGAUACAUCUACAGAACACCAACCUCUCCAGCACCACAGUCGUCAAUACAUUCAUCGCUACCACAACUAGCGCCGCUAACACAACCGCAGCCACAACAAACUACAAAAAAACAAAAACAAAAACACGCUCAACAGCAACAACCAGCCAUACAGACACAAAACAUCGCGAUAAUGAGGAGAGCCAACAUAGAAUUGACGGCCCUCAUAGCACGAAGUAAGGACAUUGUGAGAGAGAAUGUGAUCUUCGGCACGAACAUCUUUCAAGCGUCAGAAACACUGAUGAUGGUGCGUAUGCUACUGGAGACUUAUAAAAAAAUUAGGAAUUUUCCUUCGCGAAUAGACUUUUAAGGGUGUUCCCAAAAGAAUUCCAACCAGAUUUGUAGGUCAAACCACUUGACCUUCAACGGACAUUUGCUGAAUUCCAACAGUGAAUUUUAUCUGUUCCAGGUAUCAAAUUAGUUUAUGGAAGUUCUUAAUUCCCCACGGUGAAAUAAUUUAUCGUAAGGCAGUUCAGUCAUUAGUCUUCAGAUUUUGGAAUGGAGUGAUUCCGGCCAGAAAGAUUACCCGAAGAUCAUCUCCAACAAAUAGGAAACCAGGAGUAACGACUCUACAAUGUUUACAGUAUGCUGCAUCGGACUGACCUUGGGACUGGCAGACAGACCUAUCCAAGUGAUGAUUAAAAUCUUCAAAUAACAUCAUCUCUUCGUUUCUGAUCACCUUAUGUAAAGAAUAGCACAACCAAGAUAUACAUAUAACCAGAGUUGGAGUAGAAACACUGUAAAUCAACAAGGUUUAUACAUGACAAUGUUUCGGGGAAACUUUUGAGUGAUGCGAAUAUCGACAGUCUUUUUGUGCUUGACACCGUUUCAUCACGUCGCAUUUUGAAAGCUAUGCUUCUGCAAUCCGAAGAUUAAAACCCAGCUAAAAAUAUCUAUUGAACGAAGGAGGCGUUGAACCCUUCCGACCUCCAAAACGUGAUUAAAACAUUGCAUCUCAUACCAGCGGAGGUCAUUACAUAUGUGAGUGGCUGCUUCCAAAUAUGUUAUCAAGAUAAUACCUUCUUUAAUUGGGCUGACAUUGCUGCUAAACAAUAUCCAGCGCCACCCGUAUGAUGGACUGUCCGGGGGCAAAUGGAAAAACAAAUAAAUUAACAAAUGUUUCUAGCCACUAAAUGAAAGAACAACACUCCUAGCGUUGUUUUCUGGACAAAUAAAAAAAAAACAAAAAAAAAAACAACGGCUGUUGUAAAGAUCAGCUUCUUAACGAAUGUGAACCAGUGAAAACAUUUCUUGACAAGUUUUUUGAAACUUACAACUUAUUUAUCCAAAUUAUUAGUUUACAAAUGUACUCAUAAGUGAUAGUUAGAAGAAGCUGGAUUUUACAGCUUUUCCAUACAGAAGGAGAGAGAAGAGAGAGUUAAUAUGAUACAUGCUCUGAAAAUCCAGUCUGUAAUUAAAACAACGCAACGAUAUAGAUUCUUCUUGUUAAUAUCUAAAUUCUAAAUAAUGGAACUUUGCAUAUUCUAGGAUAAAAAAUUCUUAGAGGAAGAAUUCAUAUAAUUAAAAAAAAAAAAAAGAGGAUAUAAAUAUUAAUGUACCUCAUGUUGAUGCUGACUUCACAGUUGGAGAUUUUGUGUAGUUCAUGUUUAUUAUUAACUUUAUUGUUUAGAAGAGUGAAAACUGAUGAAACUUCUGGUCAAUAAAUUUAUGACCAUGGCAAUACUUCUGCGAUGCUAACUCAAAGAAACUACACAAAACGAAUGCAAGAAAUAUCUCCGCAGAUGUUCAAGUAUUCUUAGACAUUACAUUAGUCCAUUUUAAAUAACGUUUUUGAAAUUCAUUUUUCUCAAUCACUGAUGAUUUCUUCAACAAUGUUUUUUUUUCUCCUAAACACAUGAUUUACUGAAUGGGUGACCAAAUCCCUCACAUUACUAUACAUGUUCUGUCUUCAGUUUGUCACUGAAGUGCAGGCCUACCUGAUUGUCAAACGUGUGACGUGUAGUAGAAACAAUGCCAAAGUAGACAUUAGAACUUGGCGUAACUCUUUGGCUCAGCUGUUCAUUUCGGACCGUCUAACCCAUGCCAGCAUGAAAAAAAGGGACAUUAAUGGAUGAUGCUAAUGCUGCUGCUGAUGAGGAUCUCUCUCUCUCUCUCUCUCUCUCUCUCUCUCUCUCUCUUAUGUAUAUAUAUAUACGUAUAUGGUUCAAAUGUGCAGUAAACAAAAGACAAAGAGAGAUGAGAGAACAACAAGCUGAUGUAUUAGUUUGAUACUCGGUAAAUAUGGAAAAGAUUUUGACGUUUCGAACCUACGCCCAACGGCAAAGAGGAAUGAGAAGGAAAAAAUAGAGAGAAAAAGAGAAAAAAAAAAAAAGAAACGGAGAGAGAAAAAAUGUGUUGGGAUUAAUGGUUCCACAUGUUGUAAUCACCACUGUACAGAACAGAUGCACGAGACACUGUAAUCUUGUCAGGAAAUUAAACACUCAGGGAACAUUGCACAGAACCUCUCAGUCUACUGGGGCAAAAGCCUUUUUAUAGAUUCACAAACAUAAUAAAGAGUUAUUGAUGUUGUU
Octopus bimaculoides (California two-spot octopus) is the source of this 4254-nucleotide long non-coding RNA. The record is from RefSeq and is a predicted model, not a curated record. Lineage: Eukaryota; Metazoa; Mollusca; Cephalopoda; Octopoda; Octopodidae.